UACGGAGGGGGCAAGCGUUAUUCGGAAUCAUUGGGCGUAAAGGGCGCGUAGGCGGCUUGGCAAGUCAAAGGUGAAAUCCCUCGGCCUAACCGAGGAACUGCCUUUGAAACUGCUUGGCUUGAGGCCGGGAGAGGGUAGCGGAAUUCCCAGUGUAGCGGUGAAAUGCGUAGAUAUUGGGAGGAACACCAGUGGCGAAGGCGGCUACCUGGACCGGUUCUGACGCUGAGGCGCGAAAGCGUGGGUAGCAAACAGG
Molecule: ribosomal RNA, 253 nt
Filed under: uncultured bacterium
Lineage: Bacteria
Description: partial 16S ribosomal RNA
Rfam family: Bacterial small subunit ribosomal RNA
Source: RNAcentral